Molecule: long non-coding RNA, 766 nt
Organism: Engraulis encrasicolus (European anchovy)
Lineage: Eukaryota; Metazoa; Chordata; Actinopteri; Clupeiformes; Engraulidae
Exons: 4
Source: RefSeq, a predicted model, not a curated record
UUUAAGGCCAAGCUAAUCUUGACUUCUGUAGUCAGCUGGGGCAUUUUUAAAAAGGAGUUCACAAAGAUACUACUGGCGACAGAGGUUAACAGCAUACAUGGAGCUCAAAACUCAAGUUCUACUUGUGGUUAUUCCACUCAUACAACUAUGCUAUAGCACACCGAUCCCUUCCAAUGGUGCCACUACUACCGCAUGUUCAGGUCCCAGAGCUGUCUAUUUCUAUGCUUCAAAACCAUCUUCAAUUAGUGGCAACGUCGACCCCAUCCCUUUCUCGGCUGUCACUCUGAAUGAAGGAGAUGCAUUCAACGGCUUCACUGGUAUCUUCACCGCCCCAGUUCAUGGAAUCUACCAGUUUUUCUUCACAACCCAGAGUGGCAGAAAUAACGCCAACAAUGUCUGGUGGCUGAAUGUCAAUCAAGUGCCCAAAGUUUCAUGUGCUUCUCAAUUAAGCUCGGAGAACACUGUUGCUACCACAUGCACUUACAUGGGUGAGUUAGUAGAGAACGAUGAGGUCACUGUGAGCGAAGCUUCAGGGUAUGCUUGGGCAAUUGACAGCUCCCGCACUAUUACCUUCUCUGGCUCCCUCCUGGUGCAGAAAUCACUCUGAACUAAAACAGAGAAGAUGGCUACAACUGUCUCAGUCAGAAUCUGAAGGCAUUUGAAGUAGAUGUUACUAUACGAGAUCCCUACGUUUGAAAAAAAGAAUGAUGAUGAAAAACAGUUUGUGUCACAUUGUGAAAUGUAGGCCUAUGUACUAAAUAAAUCA